CCUACGGGUGGCAGCAGUGAGGAAUAUUGGUCAAUGGACGGAAGCCUGAACCAGCCAUGCCGCGUGCAGGAAGACGGCUCUAUGAGUUGUAAACUUCUUUUAUCAAGGAAUAAAGUGAGGCACGUGUGCCUUUUUGUAUGUACUUUAUGAAUAAGGAUCGGCUAACUCCGUGCCAGCAGCCGCGGUAAUACGGAGGAUCCGAGCGUUAUCCGGUUUUAUUGGGUUUAAAGGGAGCGUAGAUGGGUUGUUAAGUCAGUUGUGAAAGUUUGCGGCUCAACCGUAAAAUUGCAAUUGAUACUGGCAGUCUUGAGUACAGUUGAGGUAGGCGGAAUUCGUGGUGUAGCGGUGAAAUGCUUAGAUAUCACGAAGAACUCCGAUUGCGAAGGCAGCUUACUAAACUGCCACUGACAUUGAUGCUCGAAAGUGUGGGUAUCAAACAGGAUUAGAUACCCGAGUAGUC
RNAcentral lists this ribosomal RNA (460 nucleotides) under uncultured bacterium. Its description in RNAcentral is "partial 16S ribosomal RNA". It matches the Rfam family "Bacterial small subunit ribosomal RNA", at positions 338 to 795 of the family's 1533-position model. The record is from RNAcentral.